Molecule: long non-coding RNA, 1923 nt
Organism: Girardinichthys multiradiatus
Lineage: Eukaryota; Metazoa; Chordata; Actinopteri; Cyprinodontiformes; Goodeidae
Exons: 3
Source: RefSeq, a predicted model, not a curated record
GGACGGACGGACGGAUGGACGGACGGACGGACGGAAAGCUCAUUUAUCAGCGGAAACAUUCUCCCACAUGAAACCCAUAUCUAUGCACGUCCAGCCAUGGAUGUCCUAUCGCACUGGGAUUACUGGAAGCUCCACGUUAUAAUUGAAACCGACCGACCACUGCAUGAAAAUCAAAACAGGGACCCGAUGUUCCAGGCUGAUGGCUGCUUUCAGCAGAGGCGUCUCUGAUAAGAAGAGGAAAAUGAUGCUCGAGGGUGAACCCUGCCUCUCGCCCAUAGACUGCUGGAGAUAGGCACUAGCUUCCCCGCGACCCACUAUGGAAGAAGCGGUAUAGAAGAUGACUGACUGUUUCUUUGUGUCUAAGUUCAGCUUCCUUUGUGUUAAUUAGUCUCCUUCUUUCUGCUAACCCUCUGCCUCAGCGGCUUCACAUUAUAUCCUGAUGAACACAGCAGCAUCCUAUGUCAUUUUCACACUUCCCUCAGUAUAUAAGCUCUCUGGUUCCCAUUGUUUGCUGCUGGAUCCUUCCAUUUCUAUUUCCCAUAUGCUCCCCAUUUUUCACGCCUGUGACAAUGUGCUUACGUUCAGCUUUUCUUGUGCUUUUUGUAAAAAUUUUCCAUUUAAUUAUUGAAGCAGUACUCUGCUCAUCCCAUGUUCCUGUCUCAGCUAACCAACACCUCAUGACAGCUAGAAGAUAGAAACAGCCCUGAAGCCUCACAGAAGAGGUGGCACCUGAUUUUUCUCUGCUUCCUCCUAACUUAUAAGAAGAUGACCAGAAAAUGUUGGGUUUGAACGAUGAACAAAAUGUAUUCCUAGUUCACACUUUCAUAAAGUCCUUUCACAUGCUUGCUUUUUAAAAUUAUUUUAUUCACAACAGCUUCCAGACCAACAAAUUGUUGAUGAAAGCACAAAAGUCCAAAAUGGUCCGAAACACAUUUAAGGUCUUCCUCACUAACCACCCUUCAUCCUGAAGGACCUGCUGAAACUUUAUAUCCAGCCCCAAGGUUUUUCUAGAAGGAACCGAGGUUCUGGUUCCCUUAUCACGUCAGGUCCCUGAGAUUUUUGAAGUCAUGGAUGGAUUUGAGACCUGCAGAAUGAUCACAUCUGAACAGUAACUGCAUGAUCUAAUCUGCUUUGGGCCAAAUGAGCAAAGGAACCACAAGGUGCUGUACAGGAGGUCCAUUGUAAAACAUAUCUCCACAGUUCAGCUUACCUUUUAGACGUUUCUUGACAGUUUCUUACCUUUGUGGGUUUUUAUGGGCUGUAAACCUAAAACCCUUAAAGACGGACACCUCCUUUUGCUGAAACAGGACAGCACUCUAUGUUUUUCAGCUUCAGGGAUCUGAAUGAAUAUGGAUGUUUGGUCAGCAGGGAUCUCAGAGGAGAUUUGAGAAUGUUUCAUUAGUUGGUCUUAAUGAACCAGUGAAGAGGUUUGUCCUAAAGUACUACAGUAGGACAUAUUCAGAGAUGCCAGGGUUUCUACAGAGUAGUAGCCGGAACCAUUUAGGUUUUGGAAAAAUUCUUGCUGCUGCACAGUUCUGUCCAGUAAUACCUUUGGAUUGUGGCGUUUGGACAUGUCUGCUGCUGCUGCAACAAGGUGCCAUCAGUGAGACAAUCAAGUUUUUGCACAGAAACCUUCUGAUAGGACUAUUAGACACAAACAUUACAGAAGGUGUCACGGUGUGACAUUUUGGACUUUGGUUUUGGUGUCUUGUGAUGGUUUAUUUUGUCUAGAUGUUUCUAUCAUGUUUAUUAGUUUCUUUUCCUCCCUCUACCAUCUCCUUGUGUGUAUUGUGUUCCUCUAACUCUUAGUUCCUUUUGUUGUUGCUUUCCUUUUUUUUGUAUUAUUAUUAUUCACCCUUGGAUUCUUAUUUAGUAUCUCUGUGUUUAGUUAUGGUUAUGUAUUUGUUCUUAUUCCAGCUUUAG